Molecule: long non-coding RNA, 175 nt
Organism: Etheostoma spectabile (orangethroat darter)
Lineage: Eukaryota; Metazoa; Chordata; Actinopteri; Perciformes; Percidae
Exons: 3
Source: RefSeq, a predicted model, not a curated record
AGAGUGUUAGCAAAGCUUGUCCACGGCACGUGAACUUCAUUUUGGGGGUUGGCCACGUUUCAUCGCUGUGGCUGUGACACUUUGGUCGGAUAAUAAUGUCUUGUUCAGCGUUGGGUUGCACGGCAAGACACUCAAAAGAAUCGGCAGUUCAGUUUUUCCGCUAACAUUGGAGCCU